UAAGGAAUCUUCCACAAUGGGGGCAACCCUGAUGGAGCAAUACCGCGUGCAGGAUGAAGCGUUUCGGCGUGUAAACUGCUUUUAUCACCGAUGAUUAUGACAGUAGGUGAAGAAUAAGGACCGGCUAACUACGUG
RNAcentral lists this ribosomal RNA (135 nucleotides) under uncultured bacterium. Its description in RNAcentral is "partial 16S rRNA". It matches the Rfam family "Bacterial small subunit ribosomal RNA", at positions 355 to 507 of the family's 1533-position model. The record is from RNAcentral.